CCAGCAUGAGUUAUGUCAUGUUAUCGAUAUGUGAAUACAUAGCAUAUCAGAAGGCACACCCGGAGAACUGAAACAUCUUAGUACCCGGAGGAAGAGAAAGAAAAUUCGAUUCCCUUAGUAGCGGCGAGCGAAAUGGGAAGAGCCCAAACCAACAAGUUUGCUUGUUGGGGUUGUAGGACACUCUAUACGGAGUUACAAAGGACGACAUUAGACGAAUCAUCUGGAAAGAUGAAUCAAAGAAGGUAAUAAUCCUGUAGUCGAAAAUGUUGUCUCUCUUGAGUGGAUCCUGAGUACGACGGAGCACGUGAAAUUCCGUCGGAAUCUGGGAGGACCAUCUCCUAAGGCUAAAUACUCUCUAGUGACCGAUAGUGAACCAGUACCGUGAGGGAAAGGUGAAAAGCACCCCGGAAGGGGAGUGAAAUAGAACCUGAAACCGUGUGCUUACAAGUAGUCAGAGCCCGUUAAUGGGUGAUGGCGUGCCUUUUGUAGAAUGAACCGGCGAGUUACGAUUUGAUGCAAGGUUAAGCAGUAAAUGUGGAGCCGUAGCGAAAGCGAGUCUGAAUAGGGCGUUUAGUAUUUGGUCGUAGACCCGAAACCAGGUGAUCUACCCUUGGUCAGGUUGAAGUUCAGGUAACACUGAAUGGAGGACCGAACCGACUUACGUUGAAAAGUGAGCGGAUGAACUGAGGGUAGCGGAGAAAUUCCAAUCGAACCUGGAGAUAGCUGGUUCUCUCCGAAAUAGCUUUAGGGCUAGCCUCAAGUGAUGAUUAUUGGAGGUAGAGCACUGUUUGGACGAGGGGCCCCUCUCGGGUUACCGAAUUCAGACAAACUCCGAAUGCCAAUUAAUUUAACUUGGGAGUCAGAACAUGGGUGAUAAGGUCCGUGUUCGAAAGGGAAACAGCCCAGACCACCAGCUAAGGUCCCAAAAUAUAUGUUAAGUGGAAAAGGAUGUGGCGUUGCCCAGACAACUAGGAUGUUGGCUUAGAAGCAGCCAUCAUUUAAAGAGUGCGUAAUAGCUCACUAGUCGAGUGACACUGCGCCGAAAAUGUACCGGGGCUAAACAUAUUACCGAAGCUGUGGAUUGUCCUUUGGACAAUGGUAGGAGAGCGUUCUAAGGGCGUUGAAGCAUGAUCGUAAGGACAUGUGGAGCGCUUAGAAGUGAGAAUGCCGGUGUGAGUAGCGAAAGACGGGUGAGAAUCCCGUCCACCGAUUGACUAAGGUUUCCAGAGGAAGGCUCGUCCGCUCUGGGUUAGUCGGGUCCUAAGCUGAGGCCGACAGGCGUAGGCGAUGGAUAACAGGUUGAUAUUCCUGUACCACCUAUAAUCGUUUUAAUCGAUGGGGGGACGCAGUAGGAUAGGCGAAGCGUGCGAUUGGAUUGCACGUCUAAGCAGUAAGGCUGAGUAUUAGGCAAAUCCGGUACUCGUUAAGGCUGAGCUGUGAUGGGGAGAAGACAUUGUGUCUUCGAGUCGUUGAUUUCACACUGCCGAGAAAAGCCUCUAGAUAGAAAAUAGGUGCCCGUACCGCAAACCGACACAGGUAGUCAAGAUGAGAAUUCUAAGGUGAGCGAGCGAACUCUCGUUAAGGAACUCGGCAAAAUGACCCCGUAACUUCGGGAGAAGGGGUGCUCUUUAGGGUUAACGCCCAGAAGAGCCGCAGUGAAUAGGCCCAAGCGACUGUUUAUCAAAAACACAGGUCUCUGCUAAACCGUAAGGUGAUGUAUAGGGGCUGACGCCUGCCCGGUGCUGGAAGGUUAAGAGGAGUGGUUAGCUUCUGCGAAGCUACGAAUCGAAGCCCCAGUAAACGGCGGCCGUAACUAUAACGGUCCUAAGGUAGCGAAAUUCCUUGUCGGGUAAGUUCCGACCCGCACGAAAGGCGUAACGAUUUGGGCACUGUCUCAACGAGAGACUCGGUGAAAUCAUAGUACCUGUGAAGAUGCAGGUUACCCGCGACAGGACGGAAAGACCCCGUGGAGCUUUACUGUAGCCUGAUAUUGAAAUUCGGCACAGCUUGUACAGGAUAGGUAGGAGCCUUUGAAACGUGAGCGCUAGCUUACGUGGAGGCGCUGGUGGGAUACUACCCUAGCUGUGUUGGCUUUCUAACCCGCACCACUUAUCGUGGUGGGAGACAGUGUCAGGCGGGCAGUUUGACUGGGGCGGUCGCCUCCUAAAAGGUAACGGAGGCGCUCAAAGGUUCCCUCAGAAUGGUUGGAAAUCAUUCAUAGAGUGUAAAGGCAUAAGGGAGCUUGACUGCGAGACCUACAAGUCGAGCAGGGUCGAAAGACGGACUUAGUGAUCCGGUGGUUCCGCAUGGAAGGGCCAUCGCUCAACGGAUAAAAGCUACCCCGGGGAUAACAGGCUUAUCUCCCCCAAGAGUUCACAUCGACGGGGAGGUUUGGCACCUCGAUGUCGGCUCAUCGCAUCCUGGGGCUGUAGUCGGUCCCAAGGGUUGGGCUGUUCGCCCAUUAAAGCGGUACGCGAGCUGGGUUCAGAACGUCGUGAGACAGUUCGGUCCCUAUCCGUCGUGGGCGUAGGAAAUUUGAGAGGAGCUGUCCUUAGUACGAGAGGACCGGGAUGGACAUACCUCUGGUGUACCAGUUGUCGUGCCAACGGCAUAGCUGGGUAGCUAUGUGUGGACGGGAUAAGUGCUGAAAGCAUCUAAGCAUGAAGCCCCCCUCAAGAUGAGAUUUCCCAACUUCGGUUAUAAGAUCCCUCAAAGAUGAUGAGGUUAAUAGGUUCGAGGUGGAAGCAUGGUGACAUGUGGAGCUGACGAAUACUAAUCGAUCGAAGACUUAAUCAA
RNAcentral lists this ribosomal RNA (2796 nucleotides) under Staphylococcus aureus F77710. RNAcentral's name for it is "bacterial LSU rRNA". It matches the Rfam family "Bacterial large subunit ribosomal RNA". The record is from RNAcentral. Lineage: Bacteria; Bacillati; Bacillota; Bacilli; Caryophanales; Staphylococcaceae.